Molecule: ribosomal RNA, 253 nt
Filed under: uncultured bacterium
Lineage: Bacteria
Description: partial 16S ribosomal RNA
Rfam family: Bacterial small subunit ribosomal RNA
Source: RNAcentral
UACGAAGGUCCCGAGCGUUGUUCGGAAUCACUGGGCGUAAAGCGCGCGUAGGCGGUUUGUUAAGUGGGAUGUGAAAUCCCCGGGCUUAACCUGGGAAUUGCAUUUCAAACUGGCCGACUAGAGUACGGUAGAGGGAGGUAGAAUUUCCUGUGUAGCGGUGAAAUGCGUAGAUAUAGGAAGGAAUACCAGUGGCGAAGGCGGCCUCCUGGAUCGAUACUGACGCUGAGGCACGAAGGUCAGGGGAGCAAACGGG